RNAcentral lists this ribosomal RNA (1180 nucleotides) under uncultured archaeon. Its description in RNAcentral is "partial 16S ribosomal RNA". The record is from RNAcentral.
GGCCGCGUGUAUCCCAGAGCAUUCGGGCCAUACUGACCUACCGUGGCCCGCUCCUUCCCCUGGCUUAUCGCCAGCGGUCUCACACGAGUGCCGAAUCCCCGAAGGGAUCCAUGGCAACAUGUGAUGCGGGUCUCGCUCGUUACCGGACUUAACCGGACACUUCACAGCACGAGCUGACGGCGGCCAUGCAGCUCCUCUCAGCGCGUCAGGUAAGCUCUUCAAGCUGACCGUCAUCCUGCUGUCGGCUCUGGUAGGGUACUCUGCGUUGGAUCUAAUUAAACCGCAGCCUCCACCGGUUGUGGUGCUCCCCCGUCAAUUCCUUUAAGCUUCAGCCUUGCGACCGUACUUCCCAGGCGGUGCGUUUAACGUUUUCACUUCGGCACCGGACAACCUCGGAGGUUGUCCGACAUCAAACGCACAUUGUUAACGGCCAGGACUACGCGGGUAUCUAAUCCGCUUUGCUCCCCUGGCUUUCGUUCCUCACCGUCGGAUCCGUACUCGUUGAGCGCUUUCGCCACAGGUGCUCCUCCCAGAAUUUUAGGAUUUCACUCCUACUCCGGGAAUAGCCUCAACGCCGUCCGGUCCCUAGCCAUACAGUAUCCGCUGCACGCCCACACGUUGAGCGCGUGGAUUUCACAGCGGACUUGCAUGGCAGGCUACGAACACUUUAAGCCCAAUAAUAACGACUACCACUUGGGGUCCUGCUAUUACCGCGGCGGCUGGCAGCAGUGUUGCCCACCCCUUGUUCCGGCACCUCCUUACAGUGCAGAAAAGUAACCUUCCUUGUGGGAAGAUUACACUCGGAGUCCCCCCAUCGCACUCUCGUGCAUUGUGAAGGUUUCGUGCCUGCUGCACCCCGUAGGGUCUGGCUUCUUGUCUCAGAAGCCAACUGACAGCUCCCGCUCUCACGGCUGUUACUGAUUACUGGCUUGGUGAGCCGUUACCUCACCAACGACCUAAUCAGCCGCGACUCCAUCCUAUGGCGUCGGAACAUUUCACAGACGACGCUUUCCAGCAAUCAUCUGCUAUUGGAUAUUAGCCUCACGUUAGCGAGGUUAUCUCCAUCCAUAGGGCAGGUUAGUCACGUGUUACUCAGCUAUCCGCCCCGAGCAAAGCUCGGUGGACUAGCAUGGCUAAAUCGGACUCCGAUAGCAGUAGCCUCCGGCAGGAUCAACCGGAA